RNAcentral lists this ribosomal RNA (460 nucleotides) under uncultured bacterium. RNAcentral's name for it is "partial 16S ribosomal RNA". It matches the Rfam family "Bacterial small subunit ribosomal RNA", at positions 338 to 795 of the family's 1533-position model. The record is from RNAcentral.
CCUACGGGUGGCAGCAGUGAGGAAUAUUGGUCAAUGGACGGAAGUCUGAACCAGCCAUGCCGCGUGCAGGAAGACGGCUCUAUGAGUUGUAAACUGCUUUUGUACAAGGGUAAACCUGAAUACGUGUAUUCAGCUGAAAGUACUGUACGAAUAAGGAUCGGCUAACUCCGUGCCAGCAGCCGCGGUAAUACGGAGGAUCCAAGCGUUAUCCGGAUGUAUUGGGUUUAAAGGGUGCGUAGGCGGAUGUAUAAGUUAGAGGUGAAAUGUCCGAGCUUAACUCGGGAACUGCCUCUAAUACUGUUGGUCUAGAGAGUAGAUGCGGUAGGCGGAAUGUAUGGUGUAGCGGUGAAAUGCUUAGAGAUCAUACAGAACACCGAUUGCGAAGGCAGCUUACCAAUCUAUAUCUGACGUUGAGGCACGAAAGCGUGGGGAGCAAACAGGAUUAGAUACCCGGGUAGUC